Molecule: ribosomal RNA, 887 nt
Filed under: uncultured delta proteobacterium
Lineage: Bacteria; Deltaproteobacteria
Description: bacterial SSU rRNA
Rfam family: Bacterial small subunit ribosomal RNA
Source: RNAcentral
AGAGUUUGAUCAUGGCUCAGAACGAACGCUGGCGGCGUGCCUAACACAUGCAAGUCGAGCGCGAGAGGGGGGGCAACUCCCCGAGUAGAGCGGCGCACGGGUGAGUAACGCGUGGGUAACCUACCUCCGGGCGGGGGAUAACCACUCGAAAGGGUGGCUAAUACCGCAUGAGACCACGGGAUCCUCGGAUCCUGGGGCCAAAGGUGGCACCGGCUUGCCGGUGCUGUCACCGGGAGAUGGGCCCGCGUACGAUUAGCUUGUUGGUAGGGUAACGGCCUACCAAGGCUACGAUCGUUAGCUGGUCUGAGAGGAUGACCAGCCACACUGGAACUGGAACACGGUCCAGACUCCUACGGGAGGCAGCAGUGAGGAAUAUUGCGCAAUGGGGGAAACCCUGACGCAGCAACGCCGCGUGGGUGAAGAAGGCCUUCGGGUCGUAAAGCCCUUUCGGACGGGACGAACGCCUCGCGGGGAUAAUCCGCGAGGUCUGACGGUACCGUAGGAAGAAGCACCGGCUAACUCCGUGCCAGCAGCCGCGGUAAUACGGAGGGUGCAAGCGUUGUUCGGAAUUACUGGGCGUAAAGCGCGUGUAGGCGGCCUGGUAAGUCAGAUGUGAAAGCCCUCGGCUUAACCGGGGAAGUGCAUCUGAAAACUGCCUGGCUUGAGUACGGGAGAGGGAGGCGGAAUUCCCAGUGUAGAGGUGAAAUUCGUAGAGAUUGGGAGGAACACCGGUGGCGAAAGCGGCCUCCUGGACCGAUACUGACGCUGAGACGCGAAAGCGUGGGGAGCAAACAGGAUUAGAUACCCUGGUAGUCCACGCUGUAAACGAUGGGCACUAGGUGUGGGGGGUAUCCACUCCUCCCGUGCCGCAGCUAACGCAUUAAGUG